This 497-nucleotide ribosomal RNA is filed under the name uncultured bacterium. RNAcentral describes it as "partial 16S ribosomal RNA". It matches the Rfam family "Bacterial small subunit ribosomal RNA", at positions 28 to 507 of the family's 1533-position model. The record is from RNAcentral.
GAUGAACGCUGGCGGCGUGCCUAAUACAUGCAAGUCGAGCGAACAGACGAGGAGCUUGCUCCUCUGACGUUAGCGGCGGACGGGUGAGUAACACGUGGAUAACCUACCUAUAAGACUGGGAUAACUUCGGGAAACCGGAGCUAAUACCGGAUAAUAUAUUGAACCGCAUGGUUCAAUAGUGAGAGACGGUUUUGCUGUCACUUAUAGAUGGAUCCGAGCCGCAUUAGCUAGUUGGUAAGGUAACGGCUUACCAAGGCGACGAUGCGUAGCCGACCUGAGAGGGUGAUCGGCCACACUGGAGCUGAGACACGGUCCAGACUCCUACGGGAGGCAGCAGUAGGGAAUCUUCCGCAAUGGGCGAAAGCCUGACGGAGCAACGCCGCGUGAGUGAUGAAGGUCUUCGGAUCGUAAAACUCUGUUAUUAGGGAAGAACAAAUGUGUAAGUAACUAUGCACGUCUUGACGGUACCUAAUCAGAAAGCCACGGCUAACUACGUG